GCCCUUUUCCCAAAUCAGGCCCAACAGCCUGCUCCUGCCCAAAGACCUGACCCGGCCCACAAUUCCCAUGCUUACAACCUCCAUCCCAGCCGUUUCAACCCCAAAACGACGUUCAACGGUAACAUCAAUUCAACAGCAAAAUCCCAAAUCGUCCAUUUUUACCGUUUAACCCUUUUAGUACAGCCAUCCACGGCCAAAAAACCAGAAAACUUUCAAUCUUUCUUCAGUUUGGACUCACUAUUUCGGGCAAAGAAGUACCCCCAACGUCUCUUCUUCACCUCUCUCACUGCGAAAAAAAUCAGUUGGAGUACAAGACUUUUAAUGGUUUUUCGUCCUGCUGUGGACCUGAAUUUUUCAAGUAAUUCAAUUCAAAAUUCGAAAUUGAAAUCCGAAACCCUAGCUAUUUCCCUCCAAUUUUCCCCUAUAAAUAGAUGCUAAGAAGAAAGGGGUGAGAGGAGGAUUUUUGGGGAAAAAUUGGGGGUUCUGAAGGUGCUUGCCUUUAACCUCACGAAACCGAAAUUCUCAAAGAACUGUCGAAAUAUCGGAAUUCGACGUUCUUGUUCAAAUUCUAUUGGUUGGAAUCAACUCGAGGUGGUGGAAUUUCAUUCGACUGAAAGCUCGUCGUCUCGGUGUCGCUGCCCGAAAAUCGGACUGUGGAGUGUAUGUAGCUGAGUGUGCAAAAUACCUAAGCGAAGGAAUUGAUGUGCUUUCAAUUGGUUUUGAAGUAGAAUAGGAUCGUAUGCAAUAUGCGUUGCUCCUUUGAAAUUUUGAUCUUUCAGAAAGUGGAGAAAUAUUAUGUUAGUGACAAUGACGACCCUCCAAGAUCAAGGACAAAAAAUGUCCCCCUACCUGAUAAAGCUGGAGUAGUUAGCAUUGAGUAGGCUUAAAGAUGUUUAAGGUAAAGACUUUUUAUUUCUGUUGAUUUGUUAGCAAUUUGAUUUUCAAACUAAUUUAGGUGUUUUAUAUGUAUACAGUUGCUACAACACAUUGACUAAUGUUUUUGAAUUAUUGAUUAAAUUGUGUGUGCAUAAAA
Long non-coding RNA from Capsicum annuum, 1033 nucleotides. RefSeq lists it as uncharacterized. Lineage: Eukaryota; Viridiplantae; Streptophyta; Magnoliopsida; Solanales; Solanaceae. The record is from RefSeq and is a predicted model, not a curated record. The transcript is spliced from 2 exons.